CUGAUAUUUAAAGCAGGUCACUCAACAGGGGUUUCCAAAGAUGGGCAGCAGGGGUUUUGGUUGAGGGGACUGGAGGGAGACUACCGUUUCCAGGUCCUCCUCCCAACAGCCCUUGCUGUAACAUACAGUAAUGAAAACUACGAGGACAUAAACCGUUACCUUUCUACUUCAAAAUAUACAACUUAGUCAGUUUUAAUAGCAAUGCUAACGAAUGGGGAGGAUUCAAACAGACAUACACAGUACAGCAUAAAUUAAACAUAGCCGGAGACGCCACACUAUACCGGCGCGCAGUACACAACAGAAAAUAGGCACAACCAUUCUAUCUUAGGCAGUCCCAAAUAUAUAUACGCACACACAUAUAUACAAUAUUAGUUAGUACACAUGCAAGGUUAAACAGUAAUUUUAUUAUUUUUCACGUAAUAUCAGUAGUUAUGGUACAAGUCAGUGGUUAUAGUACCGUGCGCUAUUUUAACUAUACACAAAAUUUACACGUCCGCUAAACGGCAGAGCUCAAGCUUUCUAGCAGGACAUACAUUUCACCAAUUACAGUGUAUUUUAUAACAUUUACAGCAAACCCAACUACUCUAAUUGGCCAGGACCUUGAGAACUAUCGAACUAUUUACACCAGGAUUCGGUUAGUCUACGCUGCCCAAGCACCACAUAUAGCGAACUAGUUGGCGGAAUUUACAAUAGUAUCCAUUUAGUCUAUCUACUCUAUCAAUAGUCUAGUGGCUGAAUUUACAACAGAGCACACUUAGCCAAGAUAGGUUGAGAGCUAGCAGACGGAAUGUACACCAGAAUCUGCUUAGUCUCGCCGGCCUCCACGACCUAGCGACCGAAUUUUACACCUAGACACGCUGGUCAAGACAGG
Molecule: non-coding RNA, 871 nt
Organism: Pelobates cultripes (western spadefoot toad)
Lineage: Eukaryota; Metazoa; Chordata; Amphibia; Anura; Pelobatidae
Source: the annotation of a GenBank genome assembly